AAGGAAUAUUGCUCAAUGGGAGAAAUCCUGAAGCAGCAACGCCGCGUGGAGGAUGAAGGGUCUAUGACUUGUAAACUCCUGUAAAGAAGGAAAAAAUUCCCAUUAGAUGGGAGAUGAUGGUACUUCUGGAGUAAGCCCCGGCUAACUACGUGCCAGCAGCCGCGGUAAUACGUAGGGGGCAAGCGUUGUCCGGAUUUACUGGGUGUAAAGGCUGCUCAGGCGGAUUUGUAAGUCAGAGGUGAAAUCUUACAGCUUAACUGUGAAACUGCCUUUGAUACUGCAAGCCUAGAGUAUGGAAGAGAGUGAUGGAAUAUCUGGUGUAGCAGUGAAAUGCGUAGAUAUCAGAUAGAACACCAAUGGCGAAGGCAGUCACUUGGUCCAUUACUGACGCUAAAGCACGAAAGCGUGGGUAGCAAACA
Molecule: ribosomal RNA, 419 nt
Filed under: uncultured bacterium
Lineage: Bacteria
Description: bacterial SSU rRNA
Rfam family: Bacterial small subunit ribosomal RNA
Source: RNAcentral